Molecule: unclassified non-coding RNA, 339 nt
Filed under: soil metagenome
Description: partial contains 5.8S ribosomal RNA, internal transcribed spacer 2, and large subunit ribosomal RNA
Rfam family: 5.8S ribosomal RNA (bases 1-120)
Source: RNAcentral
GAUGAAGAACGUAGCGAAAUGCGAUAUGUAGUGUGAAUUGCAGAAUUCAGUGAAUCAUCGAAUCUUUGAACGCACAUUGCACCUCUCGGUAUUCCGGGAGGUAUGCCUGUUCGAGCGUCAUUUGUACCCUCAAGCUCUGCUUGGUGUUGGGUGUUUGUUCCGCCUCUGUGUGUGAACUCGCCUCAAAACAAUUGGCAGCCGGCGUACUUGUUUCGGAGCGCAGCACAUUUUGCGAUCCAGAUCAACGUACAGCGGCAUCCAAGAAGCCUUAUUUAACGCUCUUGACCUCGGAUCAGGUAGGGAUACCCGCUGAACUUAAGCAUAUCAAUAAGCGGAGGA